Molecule: ribosomal RNA, 233 nt
Filed under: uncultured bacterium
Lineage: Bacteria
Description: partial 16S ribosomal RNA
Rfam family: Bacterial small subunit ribosomal RNA
Source: RNAcentral
CGGGUGAGUAACGCGUGAGGAACCUGCCUCAAAGAGGGGGACAACAGUUGGAAACGACUGCUAAUACCGCAUAAGCCCACGGCUCGGCAUCGAGCAGAGGGAAAAGGAGCAAUCCGCUUUGAGAUGGCCUCGCGUCCGAUUAGCUAGUUGGUGAGGUAACGGCCCACCGAGGCGACGAUCGGUAGCCGGACUGAGAGGUUGAACGGCCACAUUGGGACUGAGACACGGCCCGG